Molecule: ribosomal RNA, 396 nt
Filed under: uncultured bacterium
Lineage: Bacteria
Description: bacterial SSU rRNA
Rfam family: Bacterial small subunit ribosomal RNA
Source: RNAcentral
AAUGAACGCUGGCGGCGCGCCUAAUACAUGCAAGUCGAGCGAGAAGACGUAGCAAUACGUUUGUAAAGCGGCGAACGGGUGAGGAAUACAUGGGUAACCUACCCUCGAGUGGGGAAGUAACUAGCCGAAAGGUUAGCUAAUACCGCGUACGCUCCUUGGACUUCGGUUCAGGGAGGGAAAGGACGAUACCGUGGGUAGUCGCGCUCUUGGUUGGGCGUCAUGUCCUAUCAGCUUGUUGGUGAGGAACGGCUCACCAAGGCUUCGACGGGUAGCUGGUCUGAGAGGACGAUCAGCCACACUGGCACUGCGACACGGGCCAGACUCCUACGGGAGGCAGCAGUAAGGAAUAUUGCGCAAUGGGCGAAAGCCUGACGCAGCGACGCCGCGUGGGGGAGU